Molecule: long non-coding RNA, 1082 nt
Filed under: Macaca fascicularis (crab-eating macaque)
Lineage: Eukaryota; Metazoa; Chordata; Mammalia; Primates; Cercopithecidae
Description: lncRNA (ENSMFAG00000059961.1)
Source: RNAcentral
AAGCUGAUGGCUUCUCAUUUGGAUAUUGUCCUAUAACUUUCUGAGAGCAAUGGAUUAUAAUUAAAGUAUUUUUAUUAUCAUCACAAAAAUAGAUUUAGACAAUGUCAGUGAUUUUGUAUCUUAAACAAGAUAGCUUGUAAUUUAGAAUCCACCCUUUUAGUUUAUGAGACACCACUGGAAUGUCAGUAUUCCUCUUACAGUAAAGAGUGGCAACACUGAGACACAGCAAAUUUGGCAGUAAACAUAUUGUCUUCAAAUUUUGAAAAUAUAUCCAAAUAUCUCUUUCAUUCCCCUUAUGGGUAUAUUAAGUGCUGUCAGUGUACAAUACAAUUCUAAAUGUUCAAAUCUUGAAAGAAAGACUGUGAAUUUAAAGAAGUACUGUGUGGAGCAGAGAAAGUAUAUUUUGUCAGUUAUGGUGGUGGCAUGGCAAAUGGACCUCAUUUGAAAUGUAUCAUACCAUAGAAACAUCUUAAGGUUUGGGUAGCUAUAUUGUGUUCUUUGGCAUGGGUCACUGACUGAAUUUGCAGUGAAAUUUUUCAGGGCCGAAUGCAACCAAAGUAACUGCAUCCCUCAGGGAAAAUCAAAGAGACGAUUUUACAAGACUGACCUCUAAAGAGUUGGUAGAUUAGAUAUAGAAAUUGUCCUGGAAGAACUCAGAUAUGCUUCUGAAGUUUCUCUCCACUCUCAAAUACAUGUCAUCAUGUACUGGGAGGUGUGAAUGUGGAAAACAAAAUACAACACACCGUGUUGCUGUGGAAUUUGUGCAGUACAUGUGCUAUUAAAAAAUUCAUUUGCCAGGCACGGUGGCUCAAGCCUGUAAUCCCAGCACUUUGGGAGGCCGAGGCGGGUGGAUCACGAGGUCAGGAGAUCGAGACUAUCCUGGCUAACAUGGUGAAACCCCGUCUCUACUAAAAAUACAAAAACUAGCCGGUUGGGCAGCCUGUAGUCUCAGCUACUGGGAGGCUGAGGCGGGAGAAUGGCGUGAACCCGGAGGCGGAGUUUGCAGUGAGCCGAGAUCACGCCACUGCACUCCAGCCUGGGAGACACAGCGAGACUCCGUCUCAAAAAAAAAAAAAAAAAAA